GAUGAACGCUGGCGGCGUGCCUAAUACAUGCAAGUCGAGCGAACUGACGAGAAGCUUGCUUCUCUGAUUUUAUCGGCGGACGGGUGAGUAACACAUGGUUAACCUACCUAUAAGACUGUGAUAACUUCGGGAAACCGGAGCUAAUACCGGAUAAUAUUUUGCACCGCAUGGUUCAAAAGUGUAAGACGGUCUUUCUGUCACUUAUAGAUGAAUCCGCGCUGCAUUAGCUAGUUGGUAAGGUAACGGCUUACCAAGGCAACGAUGCAUAGCCGACCUGAGAGGGAGAACGACCAGACGGGAAGUGAGAAACGGUCGAGACUCCGACAGGGGGCAGCAGUAGGGAAUCUUACGGGAUGCACGAGAGCGUGACGGAGCAAAACCGCGGGAAGGAUGAAGGUCUUAGGAUGGGAGAACGAUGUAAGUAGGGAAGAACAAAUGUGUAAGUAACUGUGAACAUCUUGACGGUACCUAAUGAGAAAGCCACGGCUAACUACGUG
This 497-nucleotide ribosomal RNA is filed under the name uncultured bacterium. Its description in RNAcentral is "partial 16S ribosomal RNA". It matches the Rfam family "Bacterial small subunit ribosomal RNA", at positions 28 to 507 of the family's 1533-position model. The record is from RNAcentral.